ACACCGUUAGUAUAGCGGUAGAAUAAAUGAUUUCCAUUCAUUUGGCCCGGGUUCGACUCCCGGACGGUGUA
This is a transfer RNA of Vitrella brassicaformis, 71 nucleotides long. It matches the Rfam family "tRNA". Rfam says of the family: Transfer RNA (tRNA) molecules are approximately 80 nucleotides in length. Their secondary structure includes four short double-helical elements and three loops (D, anti-codon, and T loops). Lineage: Eukaryota; Vitrellaceae. The record is from Rfam.